GAGCCAACUGUAAUGGUCACCAAGCUCGCCUUGCUGAACAUCAAAUCGCAAUACGAUCGUAUCAAAAACUUACAUGAGGUCGCAGC
Molecule: small RNA, 86 nt
Filed under: Drosophila erecta
Lineage: Eukaryota; Metazoa; Arthropoda; Insecta; Diptera; Drosophilidae
Description: GG26297
Source: RNAcentral